GUCCAUGGCCAUACCAUCCUGAACACGCCCGAUCUCGUCCAAUUUCGGAAGCUAAGCAGGUCAAGCCUGGUUAGUACUUGGAUGGGAAAAUUGUAUGAAAUUCAAAAUUUCAGUGCCC
Molecule: ribosomal RNA, 118 nt
Filed under: Aotus nancymaae (Ma's night monkey)
Lineage: Eukaryota; Metazoa; Chordata; Mammalia; Primates; Aotidae
Source: RNAcentral